This is a ribosomal RNA of 895 nucleotides. It matches the Rfam family "Eukaryotic large subunit ribosomal RNA", at positions 38 to 964 of the family's 3401-position model.
GCAUAUCAAUAAGCGGAGGAAAAGAAACCAACAGGGAUUGCCCCCAGUAACGGCGAAGUGAAGCGGCAACAGCUCAAAUUUGAAAUCUGGCCCCUAGGGUCCGAGUUGUAAUUUGUAGAGGAUGCUUUUGGCGCGGCGCCUUCCGAGUUCCCUGGAACGGGACGCCAUAGAGGGUGAGAGCCCCGUCUGGUUGGAUGCCUAGCCUCUGUAAAGCUCCUUCGACGAGUCGAGUAGUUUGGGAAUGCUGCUCUAAAUGGGAGGUAUAUGUCUUCUAAAGCUAAAUACCGGCCAGAGACCGAUAGCGCACAAGUAGAGUGAUCGAAAGAUGAAAAGCACUUUGAAAAGAGGGUUAAAUAGUACGUGAAAUUGUUGAAAGGGAAGCGUUUGUGACCAGACUUGGGCUCGGUUGAUCAUCCAGCGUUUUCGCUGGUGCACUCUGCCGGCCCAGGCCAGCAUCAGUUCGCGCCGGGGGAUAAAGGCUUCGGGAAUGUGGCUCCUCGGAGUGUUAUAGCCCGUUGUGUAAUACCCUGGUGCGGACUGAGGUUCGCGCUCCGCAAGGAUGCUGGCGUAAUGGUCAUCAGCGACCCGUCUUGAAACACGGACCAAGGAGUCGUCUUCGUAUGCGAGUGUUCGGGUGUCAAACCCCUACGCGUAAUGAAAGUGAACGCAGGUGAGAGCUUCGGCGCAUCAUCGACCGAUCCUGAUGUUCUCGGAUGGAUUUGAGUAAGAGCAUACGGGGCCGGACCCGAAAGAAGGUGAACUAUGCCUGUAUAGGGUGAAGCCAGAGGAAACUCUGGUGGAGGCUCGCAGCGGUUCUGACGUGCAAAUCGAUCGUCAAAUAUGGGCAUGGGGGGCGAAAGACUAAUCGAACCUUCUAGUAGCUGGUUUCCGCCGA